UGGUCUGGGCGAAAGUUCUUUGGACCACAGUAGGCGGGAAGAAUUCCC
This 48-nucleotide non-coding RNA is filed under the name unclassified sequences. Its description in RNAcentral is "DUF3800-XI RNA". It matches the Rfam family "DUF3800-XI RNA". Rfam says of the family: Actinobacteria, Firmicutes, Proteobacteria, Spirochaetes (1 example). Nearby to DUF3800 The record is from Rfam by way of RNAcentral.